This 28-nucleotide small RNA is filed under the name Bombyx mori (domestic silkworm). RNAcentral's name for it is "ovarian small RNA-5314". The record is from RNAcentral. Lineage: Eukaryota; Metazoa; Arthropoda; Insecta; Lepidoptera; Bombycidae.
GCCCAGUCGGGGCUAUUGAAACGGCGGG